Molecule: ribosomal RNA, 453 nt
Filed under: uncultured bacterium
Lineage: Bacteria
Description: bacterial SSU rRNA
Rfam family: Bacterial small subunit ribosomal RNA
Source: RNAcentral
GGUGAGUAACACGUAGGGUGACCUGCCAUCAGCAGUGGGGGAUAACGACCCGAAAGGGUCGCUAAUAUCCUGCAUAACACUCCCAGUCGUUUUGGAGACAGUGGAGAUCAAAUGCCGGGGAUCGCUAAGACCUGGCUGCUCAGAGAGGGGCCUGCUGGGUCGAUUAGCUAGUUGGUGAGCGUAAUGGCUCACCAAGGCAACGAUCGGUAUCCGGCCUGAGAGGGCGGACGGACACACUGGGACUGAGACACGGUCCAGACUCAUAAACGGGAGGCAGCAGUGGGGAAUUGUUCGCAAUGGGCGCAAGCCUGACGACGCAACGCCGCGUGGAGGAUGAAGAUCUUCGGGUCGUAAACUCCUUUCGAUCGGGAAGAACGUUUUCCGGGUGAACAAUCCGGAGAAGUGACGGUACCGAGAGAAGAAGCCCCGGCUAACUCUGUGCCAGCCGCCGCG